Small nucleolar RNA from Rana temporaria (common frog), 94 nucleotides. RefSeq annotates it as small nucleolar RNA U83B. The transcript has a single exon. The record is from RefSeq and is a predicted model, not a curated record. Lineage: Eukaryota; Metazoa; Chordata; Amphibia; Anura; Ranidae.
GUUGUCCUAUGAUGAAAUUAUGGAAUUAAGGGCUGGUCACAGCUCCUGAAAUGCAUGAAGAAUAAUUCCAUGCUGCCUUCCUUCUGAGGACUUA